RNAcentral lists this ribosomal RNA (119 nucleotides) under Pteropus alecto (black flying fox). Lineage: Eukaryota; Metazoa; Chordata; Mammalia; Chiroptera; Pteropodidae. The record is from RNAcentral.
GUCUACGGUCAUGCCACCCUGAACAAGCCCGAUCCCAUCUGAUCUCGGAAGCUAAGCAGGGUCGGGCCUAGUUAGUACUUGGAUGGGAGACCACCUAGGAAGACCAGGUACUAUAGGCA